Melopsittacus undulatus (budgerigar) is the source of this 5777-nucleotide long non-coding RNA. RefSeq lists it as uncharacterized. The transcript has 2 exons. Lineage: Eukaryota; Metazoa; Chordata; Aves; Psittaciformes; Psittaculidae. The record is from RefSeq and is a predicted model, not a curated record.
ACUUCUGAAAAUUCCAUGGACUUGCAGCCCCUCUCCAUGGUGCUCAUACAGGAGUAGGACCUGCAGAGCUGCUCUCCAAAGUGAGGCUGCGGAAAGGGAAACUUUUGUUCCCAUAGAAGAGAGUGGUGGUAAGAGAUGGCCGUUUUCCCACCAUCCCUGCAAAGUGAAUUUUGCUGAACAGCUUUCUGUUGCUGGAGGAAUGGAAAAUUACACAAAACCCAGUGAGUGGUUUUGGGUUUAGUGUUCUGCUUAUCCUGUGGAGGGGGAAACACAUUGUUCCAUGUGCAUAGAAAGGGAGUUGGGCUUACUCAUUGCAGUGAAGGCAGAAGGGAGAGUGCCAUGAAUUUUGAUAGCUGUAUUGAAAUGUAACAAAUUGCAUGGGUAAAACACACUUUUCCUAAACUUUCGCUUUGUACAGGUUUAUACAAGUGCAUCUAAGCUGUUUAGAAAGGCCUUUCAUUUUGUGAACCAUGUAAAGCCCAUCUUCUGUCAGGGUGCAACAGUCAAAGCUGAUGCAUUUGUAGGCCUGUUGGUGCUGCUGUUUGUUAACUUCAGUGCCUGAGUCUGGUGCAGACUUCGCAAUGGAGAGAAACAAGGUUGCUGUUCAUUCUGAGUAAUGGGAAAGGGAGAAAUGAAAGAAUCUGCCCCAUAGGUACCAGCUAGCCAGACCUCUGGCACCUAGUCCCAUACAAAGUUUUCUCCUGUGGUACCUACUGCCCCAAAGUCCUGUAUAGCAUUGAUCUAAUGCAAAAGAACAGAAACCCAAAUCUGUCUACCUUAUUUUUGUGUAAUCUGAGAGAAACCCAGAUGCUUUGAGAUAGGUAAAUUAAAGUUUAGAGUGAUCUCAGUUAGUACUUGUAACCUUAACCUUGUAUUUUUGUUAUGGAAUUUUAAUCUGACAAUCUGACUGAAUUUCUCAGCAGAGUUUUUAGAAAUAUGUCAUUGUUUCACUUUGCUCCAUGGUGAAGGUCGGUGUCUCUCAGGGACUGCUGACAUUUUGCUGACAUUUCAUCAUGUUUGGCCCUACUACAGUGGUACCAGAGGUAAGUGAUUGAAGCUAGAGAGGUGUAUUGUAGGGAGAAUGCUUAUUUACCCUCUAGACUGAGCUGCACUCUGCUUCCUAGUGGCUCUGUGGUGGUACUUCCAUCUUGUAAAAUGCCCUGAUGUGUUUGCUACAGGUUACGAAUUGCAUGAGUGUGGUAGCUGUGACCAUGGUUUUUUCUUGUCAAGAAGAAGGAAAGAUGUCCCUGCUCUAGUGAAUGAAUAUAUAGACACUGGAGAUUUCAGAUGGUAAUGGGAUGCCACAAGGUCAUUUAACAGUCCUGAAAUGUGUAUUUUUCCCACAGAGUGCAAAAGGCUGUGUGCAAGCAGUCUUUGCUUGCUGUAAUUUUAGUAGAAGAUAGGACACCUUUCCAAAGGUCUGGGUCUCUACAGAGGCUCUAUAUUGUUAGGCAUUUUUUUUAACGUUCAUGCACACAUGAUACCUCUGUUUCCAGAAGAGCUGAUGGUGGUGGUAAGUGAAGCUGUGCUCCAUCAGGGAUAAGCCUUUUUAUGAGUAUUUUGAGCUUGGCUGGCUGUAGGGCUGCAGCUUCAUGGGUAUGAAGGUCGGAAGUGGUGCUGUCUUGCCUCCAGACUCUUUCAGAAGAUGCUAUUUAUCUCAGCCCUAAUGUUUCAGUCACUGUCUUAUGAUUAGCAGUCCUAAGGCUGAUUUGCGCUGAUGCAAUAAGUAACAUCUUGGUGUUUCAUUGUCACCUUCACAGCUGUUAGAGAGCACCAGUUCCUACAGGAUCAGCUGCCAGCUGUGAUGCUAUACCUUUUACAUCAUGACUGAGAUGACACCUCUCCUUGCUGGCAGACAAGCCAGGUGGGUAGGCAUUACUCCUUAGAGCUGUCCUUCACUUAAGGAGGCACAGACUAUUGCCUGGUUUAGCAUAACGGAAAUCAAGGACAAGGGUAGUGUUGUAAAUAAGGGGCAAAGCAGAGGGCUGUGUCCUAUCCUAGCUCUGCUACAGCUGCGGAAAGCAACCUUGAGUACAUCAGCUCCUCUGCAGAUGCAUUUCCAAGGACAGCCUCUCUCUUGUGUGCUGACUUUGUGGCAGAGGUUUAUACAGUGCUUUGCUCUCCCGGUGGGGCAGAGGUUCAUUGCUGAUGGAAUUGAAGGUGUGUGUGUGUGAGGGGGGAUCCUCAAAGCUUCUAAGCUUUAAGAAGUCAUCUUCCUCCUAUGUACCAUACCAUUAUUUUCCCCUGAUGCAGCUAAGGUAGUCCACCAUGGGACUACCAGCUUUCAGUAUUAUGGGUAAUAUGCCAGGUUAAUUAUGCAGGGGGCAGGAAAAAUAGCCUGUGCCUUUCAACAAUAUCAAAGGGAUGCUACCUAAUGAUUUUCCUAUUAGCUCUUUUCCCAGCCUGCCAGAGUCACUGCAGAAGUGUCAUUUACAAAAGCAGUUUGCAACUCAUUACCCUGGAUUUUCACUGUAGUUCUGCUCCAGAGAGCAUGGGCCUUUUGCUAUGUGCCCCAACCUAAUGAAUUGCCUGGUUUGGUUAGUGCUGCCAUCCCUUCUGACAAGAGUGGUUGCUGACUGACAGGAGUGAGCCUGAGUUCAAUUCCCUUCUUGUUUUUGACUUGUGCUUGUGUCAAGCACAGGCUCCCUCUGGAAGCUGCCUUGUGAUUCCUUCUCUUUGUUUUUCUACAUUCUGCAGGAAGCAGCCUGUGCUUGGAGAAGUCCUAGAGCAAGUGGCAGGGGCAUGUGUGCCCUUUCCAGCUGGAAAAUUCCAUUGCUGUCCUGCUCUGAGCUUUUCUUUUUCUUCAUUGGUUUGGGAUUUGCUGUCACCUGAACUGGGCUUUGCAGCCCUUCAGCAAUAAAUACCUUGGAAAAGUUGCACUAAUGGUACCAAGGAAACACAUGCGGUGUGGGCUGGGGUAAGAGAACUGAUUUCCCACACCUUUGAGGGCAUCUGUGUGGGAGCUCUAAGGUCUGCUCCUGCUUGUUUGGGCUAUGCAUGGCACUUGUUAGAACAGUGCUAGAGAAAGCUCUUAUCCUGUUUAACUAGAGAGCAGUGUGCUUUUUCAGGCUGGAGGUCUAUGGCUCAUCUAAAAGCUAAGAAUAGCUCCUGGAAAGGGGAAAUUGGGGCUGUCCCUGUGUCAUGUCACAAGUACUCCCACUUUGAAGAUGAAUGUGGCUAUUGCUUAUUCAGGUGGUAGUGCAGGAAAUGUAUAGGUCCCAUGGGUGUUAGUUUUACCUGAGUGUGAACAGAGGAGCCUAGGACUCUUGCCACUGUCACUUCCAGGUGUGUUUAAACAACUCUGCUAAAUGCCAUUCCUUGAGCUUGCUGUGGAGAUGUCACAUGCCAGCCUCCUGAGGUUGCAGCUUGCAUCAAGGACUGCUCUUCCUGUUCAGUUAUGUUGUCUUUGGGCUGGGAUGUGGCAAGGGAGUUUUCCAGUGCUGGCCCUGGAUCCUGUUACUGGAUGUCAUGAGGGUUUGACCUAGCUGGCCCACAAGGGAGGCAGUGAUGUGAGAUCAGUUUGUUUCUGCUGGCUGUGAUGCCUCCUCCCCUCUUAAUUAGAUUCUUGUAGCCCCUGUUUCCUGCUGGCCUUGCUUGCUACUGAGCCCCUGUCUGGGAGAUCCAGCUGUGGCCUUAUCAGAUGCUUGCUGUGCUCUAAGGAGCUGUUUCUGUUUCCUGUUCUGGCCUAUGUUCUGAACUGAGAAAAGUUCUUGUCAGUGCUAUGAAAACUGAACAGUGUUCUCAAUGUCACUCUGCCUGUCAAACACACCAAUCUGGCUAUGCCAUAUGGGUGCUACAAUUGAAUGGAUCCAAAAGUCUUCCCAAGUGCUCUUUCACCAGAGUGCUGCCUUCUCUUUUGCACAUCAGCCCACUCCCUUGCGUGGGCACGAUGUUCAUGUCCUGCAGGUGGGAAACCAGCAUGCUCAGGGUGACUUACCCUGCUCAGAGUGGAAGCACCAAAGUGAGAAGCCAAACUAUUACCCCCUCCCUCUGCACAGAGAACUCUCGCUCUGGUCACUCUCCUUCUGCCAAACUAGUGUCCUUUUGCAGUGCAGCUUUGUCCUUUUCCUUGGGCUUGCUCUUUUCCAGGAAGCCCAGUUGAUGGAAGGAUUCCGCUGUGGGAUUAUGCUACAGAGGAGUAACAGCGAUCCAGACUAUACAUGACCCCAGGCUGCGAUCUCUGGGAUAUCCCCUGGCCUGAUCUCAGAUUGUGCCUCACUUAGGUGGUCAGAUUUUGUGGAUUGAAUUCCUGAGUCUUGUUCUGUUGAGGAGAGGCCUUCUGUCACCAGCCAGAUGGUUUAAUUCCAGUUCUGGCUUUGCAGCAGACACAGAACCAGAAGGGGGAUUGGCCCCACCUUGUUCCCAGCCUGGUACCUGUUGUGGUCACUCCUCUGGCUCCAUGUUCAAGAACCAGGACCCUGAGGGGGACCUGCAAUAAGUGAAUACUUAUUGUCCUUUAGGUUUGCAGGGUGACAGUGGACAGUCCCUUCUGAUAGGCAUCUCUUUAGGAGCUCCUGUUACAGUCCCUUCCCUUAGAAGGUAGGUGGAGCAAGUAGGGUGACCUUAACAAGUGUUGUAUUUGCCUUGCAGAGCCUCGGCAGAGGGUUGUCAUUACCUACCAGCAUCUCUGGAGGGCUCUAGCUGACUCUCAGGCAGGGCACUGAGCUGCCAGCUGCCUUUCCUGCCUCCCUCCCUCCCGGGGUCUUGAUCUUGUUCCCCAUAGGCAACAUCAUAGGCUGCUGCUCCCCAUCCAGUUAGACUCUGGGCACCAGAGGCGCUGGAGCCCAGCAGAACAUAAUUCUCGUUGUUUCACAGCCCACUACAAUGGUCAGGGUGCAAUUUGGGACUCCUGUCACGGCUGAGCUGGGCACCUGCCACUCCUUUUAAUUUCUAAGGCCUCUUUGAAGAAUGAGACCAAAGAGCCUUCAUGCAGGAGUUUGUGCUUUUGCUGCGCUCCCCACCCCCUCACAUGCUGUUUCCUUUAGAGCUCUGAGUCAUUUUGACAAUUUAUUUCAUGCACUUUACAUAGCAAGAAGCUGUAGCAACAGCUGGGUCUGUGAAUCCUUACCAGGCAGCCCUCAGUAUAUUUUGGUCUGUCUAUGUAUUGUCCCAAGCACAGUUAAAUAAAUCUGUGCAGCCAGAAGGGACUUUACGAAGGUUUGGUGAGUGAGAAUAUCAACAAGAUACUUAGUGAGCUGCUGGAUCUUAGAAUAACAGUGCCUUGGGCAUAAAGCUCUAUUCCCACUAGCACAGCUGGGGGCCAGAUCCAAUGUGGUCUCUGUUGCUGUGAGCAGGGGCUGCAUCUUGAUGUGGUGCCCAGUGAUAAAACAAUGGUUACAAGAUGAAAUUUGGACCCAAACCUGCAGAGUGGAAGUGGUUAAAACAUGUCUAGACCAAAUGCUGCUCUUGUCACACUGCUGAAAAUCUGGGUUCAGGCUGUUGAACAUGGUGGGCUUAUUUCCAGGGGUGCCAUUCAGGAUAUCAGCACAGAUGAGCUGCCUGAGGCCAUGUGCUCUUGCUGGGAGCUUGGCUGGGUUUUCAGAGACUCAUAGCUAUGCAGUGCCGGGCAGGAUUCGGUCCAUCAGAGCAUCAUAGGAUUGGGCACAAGUUUACUUUUGCAUAUGGGAUCAAAGCUUAAAAUAUCAGCUGGCCUUUCUCUCACUCCUGACUUUCCUAAAACAUGUGAACAAUUUCUUCUUUAACUCAGUUGAAAUCAAUCAAUCUGACAUUUAAAUUGUACAUGAAUUUGAUAAAUAAAGACAGGUUACAAAAUGCCA